GAACUUGGCAGAGAUGCCUUGGUGCCUUCGGGACCUCUGAGACAGGUGCUGCAUGGCUGUCGUCAGCUCGUGUUGUGAAAUGUUGGGUUAAGUCCCGNAACGAGCGCAACCCUAUCCUUGUUGCCAGCGAUUCGGUCGGGAACUCAAAGGAGACUGCCGGUGAUAAACCGGAGGAAGGUGGGGAUGACGUCAAGUCAUCAUGGCCCUUACGAGUAGGGCUACACACGUGCUACAAUGGCGCAUACAAAGAGAAGCGACCUCGCGAGAGCAAGCGGACCUCAUAAAGUGCGUCGUAGUCCGGAUCGGAGUCUGCAACUCGACUCCGUGAAGUCGGAAUCGCUAGUAAUCGUAGAUCAGAAUGCUACGGUGAAUACGUUCCCGGGCCUUGUACACACCGCCCGUCACACCAUGGGAGUGGGUUGCAAAAGAAGUAGAUAGCUUAACCUUCGGGAGGGCGUUUACCACUUUGUGAUUCAUGACUGGGGUGAAGUCGUAACAAGGUAGGCGUAGCGAG
Molecule: ribosomal RNA, 514 nt
Filed under: uncultured bacterium
Lineage: Bacteria
Description: bacterial SSU rRNA
Rfam family: Bacterial small subunit ribosomal RNA
Source: RNAcentral